Molecule: long non-coding RNA, 2873 nt
Filed under: Betula platyphylla (Asian white birch)
Lineage: Eukaryota; Viridiplantae; Streptophyta; Magnoliopsida; Fagales; Betulaceae
Source: RNAcentral
AGGGUUCAUGUUAGAGUUUUAGUUAUACCUAGCAUUUUCGCCCAUGGGUUGUUGUGAGGUAAAAUACCUAGCAUUUUCUCAUGAUUUUCGUUAUACCCAUUAAUGUUAGAACUAGAAAACCAUAUAAAUUGCUAUGAUUCUUCCUAGGUCCGAAAUUAGGGUUUAUGUUUGGGAUUUGGGGCUUUUGCCAUGGUUUGUUAGAUUUGAGAUAAGUCAAAACUGAGGGGAUGUUGUGCGAUUAAAGAGGUCUUUAUAUGUACAUAAAUAAAAGGUAACAUCUUUUUUAAUGCUAACAAAUUGUAUCGCUUAUUGUGAGGUGUUUAGGUUGGAGCAUGUUUGAACAUCUAUUGAAACUGAUUAAAUUAUAACUGUUUGUGAAUGUGGACUAUAAUUGUUAGCUUGGACUAUGAGACCAGUUGGAAGUCAUAAUUAGAAGUUCUCUCAAUAAGUUGAAGCAGCUUCGGCACCAAAUAAAUCUUGAAAAUUGAUCCCGUGUCAUUAGUUUUGAAAAUUAAACAGAGAAAAAAGAAAGAAUAGCCUUUUCUUUCCAUGAACCUAUGCUUCUGUAUAGAACAUGCUUGGAUAUAAAUCAAAUAUUUGAUGCCAGAACUCAUUCUUAUAAAGUUAUAUUGCAAGGUGUUAAUUUGAUGUCCUGGAAGCUCAUCCCUGCCACGACAUGUGUAGUCUACUUAGUUUUCUUAAUUAAUAGCCUAAAUUAGUUGCUGCCUGUUUUAGUUUUUGUUAUUUUUUUCUUACAUGUCACUGGAAAUUCUAUUAGUGUACUUGAUUUUAUUUGUUUUUUGUCUCCACGAAGGUGUCGUUUUCUUUUAGUUGGUCUAUCAUAAUUUUUUAUGCAUCUUAAACAAUUGCUUGAUUCGGAGCAUUCCAAUCUCUUUAACUCCCUAUUACUUUUGUUGCCCAUUUUAGAGAUGGAACCUGAACCCUUAGGAAGAUGACUUGCUUCAAUAACUGUCAAAAUAGCCAUAAACUGUUCCUCAAAACCCACACACGAAACCCCCAAUACUUGAUGGAUCUCCUUCACUCUUUGCAAGACCUAAUCUGAAUACUCCGACCUUGAGCGACCAGAUUUUCCCAUCACGGCGGGGGAGAUAGGAGCUAAGGGGAGUUAAAUUCUCCUUGAUAAAAUUAAAACCUAAGAUAAAUUCCUUAAUAACAAAUUUGAAAUCUUAUAAACUAAAAUCCCCAACUAAUCAUCAGCACCCUAAAUAUCAAAAUUAUUAUUUCAUCCAUAAAAUAUUACAGUUCUGUGUUAACCUAAAAAAUUAAAACCUCAUUAUUUUGGGUGCUACAGUACAGUUGACAGCAGCAUUUAUUCUCUUAAGUAACUUAUCACAAGUCAAAAUUCUGUGGUGUAGCUGUCCACGCCAUACAAGAGACACAGAACAUCAUAUUUCCUUCCAAGAAAGAAAACCUUCAACCUGAAGCAUUCACUAUAAAUAAGGAUUUGUUGUUGAUUUUUGUUUGUUUUGUAAUUGAUUUGUAUUAGCAUUUUAGCUAGCUGAUUGGGAGAUUUAAGACCGAAGAAAGCAGUUCGUGAAUUGGUGACUUGCAAUGAAAUUGGGGAGAAGAGGGACUUGCACAAAAUGGCCCAUUAACUGGACAAUAUGAUAGUUAACAUUCACCUGAAUGAUUUAACCUCACAUAUGUAAAUUCUAGGUAAUUCCCAACCAGAAACAUCCAUUCUUCCUAUCUAAUCCAUGCCGCAUACAAUCUAAGAAAACUAAUUUGCUCUCUGAAAAUAAUUGAAUGUCUUAAUUAAUGGAAAGCUGAGACAAAAGAGAGAGACAUGGUAAACCAUGUGAAAAAAAGAAUAUGUGUGUCAUACUCACGUUGAGUCACAUGGUGCAAGCACGUCGUGUAAAGACUCAAUUUUUUUUUCCCCCUGAAUCAUGUAUAAUUUGCAUAGGAAAUUUCCUUUUAGGCUGGAUUACAAGUAGUAAACAUACAUGUGACUGAUUCAAAGUCAUCUUGGCAUUUGGGUGCUACAGUACAGUUGACAGCAGCAUUUAUUCUCUUAAGUAACUUAUCAACUCAUUCUUAUAAAGUUUAAGGAUUUGUUGUUGAUUUUUGUUUGUUUUGUAAUUGAUUUGUAUUAGCAUUUUAGCUAGCUGAUUGGGAGAUUUAAGACCGAAGAAAGCAGUUCGUGAAUUGGUGACUUGCAAUGAAAUUGGGGAGAAGAGGGACUUGCACAAAAUGGCCCAUUAACUGGACAAUAUGAUAGUUAACAUUCACCUCCCCAAUACUUGAUGGAUCUCCUUCACUCUUUGCAAGACCUAAUCUGAAUACUCCGACCUUGAGCGACCAGAUUUUCCCAUCACGGCGGGGGAGAUAGGAGCUAAGGGGAGUUAAAUUCUCCUUGAUAAAAUUAAAACCUAAGAUAAAUUCCUUAAUAACAAAUUUGAAAUCUUAUAAACUAAAAUCCCCAACUAAUCAUCAGCACCCUAAAUAUCAAAAUUAUUAUUUCAUCCAUAAAAUAUUACAGUUCUGUGUUAACCUAAAAAAUUUAAACUAAAAUCCCCAACUAAUCAUCAGCACCCUAAAUAUCAAAAUUAUUAUUUCAUCCAUAAAAUAUUACAGUUCUGUGUUAACCUAAAAAAUUAAAACCUCAUUAUUUUGGGUGCUACAGUACAGUUGACAGCAGCAUUUAUUCUCUUAAGUAAUUCAUGUUAGAGUUUUAGUUAUACCUAGCAUUUUCGCCCAUGGGUUGUUGUGAGGUAAAAUACCUAGCAUUUUCUCAUGAUUUUCGUUAUACCCAUUAAUGUUAGAACUAGAAAACCAUAUAAAUUGCUAUGAUUCUUCCUAGGUCCGAAAUUAGGGUUUAUGUUUGGGAUUUGGGGCUUUUGCCAUAACCU